RNAcentral lists this unclassified non-coding RNA (327 nucleotides) under Hevea brasiliensis (rubber tree). The record is from RNAcentral. Lineage: Eukaryota; Viridiplantae; Streptophyta; Magnoliopsida; Malpighiales; Euphorbiaceae.
AGGAGUUUAUGGAAGUCUUUUGAGUACACCUAUCAUUAACCCUCCUCAGGUUUGAUUCUGCUGGGAUAAAUAUGAUUUGCUUUUCUGUUUAGGGCUUUAAGCUUAAUUCCAUAAAUCUACUACUGCAAUGAAAUGGUUGUCAAAUCUAUUUGAAAAAUGUGUGCAUGAUUCCUGAGACUCUGUCCAGCUUUGUGUAAUUGAGUUAUUAUCUUUUGAAAACCAUAUGUUGCUCAUUUGAUGUUCAUAUUACGGCUUUGAUGAUGAGAUCAAGAGUCUUAUAAUCAAAUAUUUUAUUUGCAGUCCGCUAUUUUGGGCAUGCAUUCAAUA